This 497-nucleotide long non-coding RNA is filed under the name Homo sapiens (human). RNAcentral's name for it is "HSALNT0197761". The record is from RNAcentral. Lineage: Eukaryota; Metazoa; Chordata; Mammalia; Primates; Hominidae.
AUCAAUUUCCUGCAAGGAUCCUGACAGUCAAGGAUGGCCAGCAGUAAGGGGUUUCGUUUUGGAGGAUGAGGGACACAAAUGUCUCUUCUCCAAGGUGAGGAGAUGCCUGAAGGACAGGAGACACUCACAGGAGGCCCUGGAGACAGAUGUGCCUCACAGGCAUUCCUGAGGACCUGUGGCCUGGCAGCACAGAGACUGGGUGAAAACAGAACCUUGUGAUCUGCAAGUUCUGCCGCUGCCCUGUCUGUGUCUGUGAAGCAAAGUGUCCAGAAGGGGCCCGCGUGGAAGCUUCUGAGAGCGGUUAGGGGAACGGGGCCCCACGUCCUCCCCGGAGGGCUGGAGACAGAGGCAGGCCGUGCCCCCAGCCCAGAGUAGGGAGGAGGCUGGCAGGCGGCAGCUGUGGAAAGGAGGCGGAGCCCCCAGACUCCUGAGCCAGCAGAGGAAGGAGUGGGACAGAGCCCACCCCAGAGGGAGACAAGACCCCGGGGAAGAGACCC